RNAcentral lists this ribosomal RNA (424 nucleotides) under Sinotaia quadrata. RNAcentral's name for it is "partial 16S ribosomal RNA". It matches the Rfam family "Bacterial large subunit ribosomal RNA", at positions 1925 to 2565 of the family's 2925-position model. The record is from RNAcentral. Lineage: Eukaryota; Metazoa; Mollusca; Gastropoda; Architaenioglossa; Viviparidae.
AAACGGCCGCGGUAUUUUGACCGUGCGAAGGUAGCAUAAUCAAUUGUCUUAUAAUUGAAGACUGGAAUGAAUGGCUGGACGAAAUUAAAACUGUUUUAUUUGUAUUAAUUAGAAAUUGGCUUUUAAAUGAAGAGAUUUAAAUUUAAUUAAUAGACAAGAAGACCCUAUUGAGCUUUAAAUAACUUUAAAGUUAAAAAUUUAUUAUUAGAGAUUUAAGUUUUGAAUGUUUUUUAGUUGGGGCGACUAAGGAAUAAAAGAAGCUUCCUUUAUUUAUUAGAUCAAUGGAUUUUGAUCCAGUAUUGAACUGAUUAAUGGAGAUAGUUACCAUAGGGAUAACAGCAUAAUCUUCUUGGAGAGUUCUUAUCAAAAAGGAGGGUUGUGACCUCGAUGUUGGAUUAAAAUAUCCUAAAGGUGUAGAGGCUUU